RNAcentral lists this small RNA (688 nucleotides) under Pongo abelii (Sumatran orangutan). Its description in RNAcentral is "processed transcript". Lineage: Eukaryota; Metazoa; Chordata; Mammalia; Primates; Hominidae. The record is from RNAcentral.
AGCCCCGGAACGGCUGAGGAGCCAGCCCGCUCCCCUCCCCUCCCCCUCCCCGGGCCCGGGCCCAGCGCGCCAUCCUCCCCCCCUCCUUCCCUCCCUCCCUCCUUCCUACCUCCCCUCUCCCUCCCCCUUCCCCGCCGGUGGAUGGGAGUGAAGGACGGAAGAGGCCCUGCGGAGGCGGCGGUGCAGCGCUCCGCCAGACAGCCCCCCCGCCACGAAGCUGCAGACAUCAUCCGUGGUCCACUUGCUGACGUCCUCAGGGACUGGGGCCUCCUCUCCAUCCACGGAGAGUCCCCCUAUGGCGCUGGGCCAGGUUCUGCUUCUGCAAGAGCUCCUGCUGCUGGGCGAGCAUCUCCACCCGGGCAGGGGCAGGAAUCCGUAGCCUGGAAUCUGGCACAGAGGUGGAAUGAAUCUUACUUGUUGAAUAUCUUCUGGUUACUAGUUGGAUUCAUUUGUGAAAGAAUCAUUUUCCCCUGUGUGGAAGACACUUAGUGGCAUAUUUAAAUUGCCGGAUCAAAAAGCUUUUUGAUUUCCCAAAGGAGGGACAUACCACUAUAUCAGAUAAGCUUGACAUUACAGCCAAGAUGGUGCUGUCCCAGAGACAACGAGAUGAACUAAUGAAGAAUUAGAUAAAAAGUAUGCUGGUCUUUUGGAAAAAAAAUGGACAUCUGUUAUUAGAUUACAAAAGAAG